Molecule: long non-coding RNA, 473 nt
Filed under: Rattus norvegicus (Norway rat)
Lineage: Eukaryota; Metazoa; Chordata; Mammalia; Rodentia; Muridae
Description: long non-coding RNA NONRATT009887
Source: RNAcentral
GCUUGUUCUUCCCUGUGCACUCCGCAAAGAUGCAGCUGAAACCGAUGGAGAUUAACCCCGAGAUGCUGAACAAAGUGAGUGGCGUGGCGCGCAGUCUCUGUCCCUCUCCCACGGGAGCAUCGCUGGAGACGCCUAGCCGGCCGCGCCCUGUGCUGUGGAGGUGGCCGGGCUGGGGCGGCCAGAAGGGUGUCGCCUCUGCCCUGAGUUAUUUAGGGGUUUUGGGGUGACUGAGAAAGAUCAAUCUUGGGGAGGUGGCAGAGGAUUGACCCAGACGGGAGCGGGCGCCGGGAACACAUCUCGAGGGCGUGGCGACGGUCAGCGGACUCUAGUCCGAGGGCUUCGCGCGAGCCACGUGUGGGCUGAGCUUUGUGCUGUGUCACUGCGCGACACGGAGGGUGGGCCGCUGCGGAGGCUCCUCCCAGACUCGGGUGGGGGAACCCGUGUGUGUGUGUUUGGUGGGGGGUGGGGAGUGG